GUCAGGUGCAGUGAUGCACACCUGUAAUCCCAGCAGCUUGGGAGGCUGAGAUAGGAGAAUCACAAGUUAUUAAAAUCAUUGCUAAGCUAGCUUUAGCAGUGGUACGAUGCCAGGCAAUUCAGUGAGACCUUGUCUCUA
RNAcentral lists this small RNA (138 nucleotides) under Marmota monax (woodchuck). The record is from RNAcentral. Lineage: Eukaryota; Metazoa; Chordata; Mammalia; Rodentia; Sciuridae.